GAGGGUAUAGCUCAAGUGGUAGAGCACAUGCUUAGCAUGCACAAGGUCCUGGGUUCAAUUCUUAGUACCUCCA
RNAcentral lists this transfer RNA (73 nucleotides) under Camelus bactrianus (Bactrian camel). It matches the Rfam family "tRNA". From Rfam's summary of the family: Transfer RNA (tRNA) molecules are approximately 80 nucleotides in length. The record is from Rfam by way of RNAcentral. RNAcentral also lists the same sequence under 3 other names. Lineage: Eukaryota; Metazoa; Chordata; Mammalia; Artiodactyla; Camelidae.